GGAGGAAUGGCAUGAGAGAGAGAAUUUCACCUGCGUCUUUCCUCCUGUACUCUCCUGUAUGGCUGUCCUAGAAAGUGCUGUGCUUGCGGCGAAUGAGCGGAAAGAUGCUCCAAACAUGUUGCUCACUCCAAAGGCAAUGAGCUCCUGUAACAUACAGAACAAUGAUUCUCCUAACUCAAACUCGAGUUCCCUGCAUUACAAGUACAACACUGUUCAAACCAAGCAUUCUACAGACUGACCACACUCCAUAUGGAGAUGAACAGUUCUAUGGAUCUUGACUUGCAUCUUAUGGAUCGCCAUGGGCCAUGGUUUGAGCUAUAAAUCUUCUUUAAUGUUGAACUGGAGAAAAAAGUCAUCUACAUAUGGGCUGAAGGUAUGUAAACACCUUGAAAAAAUAUUCAUUUUUGGGUUUUGUGUCUUUUUAAAAUUGCAUUAU
Non-coding RNA from Danio rerio (zebrafish), 436 nucleotides. Lineage: Eukaryota; Metazoa; Chordata; Actinopteri; Cypriniformes; Danionidae. The record is from RefSeq and is a predicted model, not a curated record.